CUCACACAGUGCGGAAUUCUUCUCAAACGAACGGUCGGCGCGAGGCUAUCAGCUGGUUUAUCAAUAGCCUAAAAAUCAGAAACCCACAGUGCAACUCCCCAAGUCCUCCUGGCUUUAUGGUGGGCUGGUCUCCAUGAACCCCAAGCAAUUAGUCCCUAAUCUCAAGGUGGCUGAUGUGACUGAGGCAAGAGGCAGCAACAAUCCCUCUUCACUAGCCUCCCUCCACCACCAGCAACUUGUUUCCUGUACAACACGAACUCCCUCUCUUUGCCAAGACCACAUUUUUGUGAACCCUUUUCCACGUAACAAGGUUCCCAUCCCAAUGCCCUGCUGCACAGUCUGCCGUGGUCUGAGGGACAAUGUUCUUAUAAUUGAGUGACCAUUCUUCACCCUGCUUGAAAA
This is a long non-coding RNA of Micropterus dolomieu (smallmouth bass), 402 nucleotides long. RefSeq lists it as uncharacterized. The record is from RefSeq and is a predicted model, not a curated record. Lineage: Eukaryota; Metazoa; Chordata; Actinopteri; Centrarchiformes; Centrarchidae. The transcript is spliced from 4 exons.